GUCUAUGGCCAUGCUACCCUGAACAAGUCCGAUGUCUGAUCUUGGAAGCUAAGCAGUGUUGGGUCUGGUUAGUACUUGGAUAGGAGACCACCUAGGAAGACCAAGUGCUGUAGGCA
RNAcentral lists this ribosomal RNA (116 nucleotides) under Pteropus alecto (black flying fox). The record is from RNAcentral. Lineage: Eukaryota; Metazoa; Chordata; Mammalia; Chiroptera; Pteropodidae.